This 421-nucleotide ribosomal RNA is filed under the name uncultured bacterium. Its description in RNAcentral is "partial 16S ribosomal RNA". It matches the Rfam family "Bacterial small subunit ribosomal RNA", at positions 360 to 773 of the family's 1533-position model. The record is from RNAcentral.
AAUAUUGGACAAUGGGGGCAACCCUGAUCCAGCCAUGCCGCGUGUGUGAAGAAGGUCUUCGGAAUGUCAAGCACUUUAAGUUGGGAGGAAGGGCUUUAUGCUAGUACCCUGAAGUUUUGACGUUACCAACAGAAUAGGCACCGGCUAACUCAGUUCCAUCAGCCGCGGUAAUAUAGAUGGUGCAAGCGUUAAUCGGAAUUACUGGGCGUAAAGCGCGCGUAGGUGGUUCAGUAAGAUGGGUGUGAAAUCCCCGGGCUUAACCUGGGAACUGCUUUCAUAACUGCUGAGCUAGAGUACGGUAGAGGGUAGUGGAAUUUCCUGUGUAGCGGUGAAAUGCGUAGAUAUAGGAAGGAACACCAGUGGCGAAGGCGACUACCUGGACUGAUACUGACACUGAGGUGCGAAAGCGUGGGGAGCAAAC